CCAGCACCCGCGGUAAUUCCAGCUCCAAUAGCGUAUAUUAAAGUUGUUGCAGUUAAAGAGCUCGUAGUUGGAUUUCUGGCGGGAUGAACACGCCCUCAGCUGAGUGUGCAUGAGCGUCUCACCAUCCUUCUGUUAACCCUUAAGGUUUUAACGACCUUCUGGGGGCUCAGAUAUUUUACCUUGAGAAAAUUAGAGUGUUUCAGGCAGGCUAGCGCCGGGAUACAUUAGCAUGGAAUAAUGGAAUAGGACUUUUUCCUCUUCUGUUGGUCUGAGGGGUUCGAGUAAUGAUUAAUAGGGAUAGUUGGGGGCAUUAGUACUUUGCUGUCAGAGGUGAAAUUCUCGGAUUUGCAAAAGACUAACUUAUGCGAAAGCAUUUGCCAAGGAUGUUUUCAUCAAUCAAGAACGAAAGU
RNAcentral lists this ribosomal RNA (410 nucleotides) under uncultured eukaryote. RNAcentral's name for it is "SSU rRNA". It matches the Rfam family "Eukaryotic small subunit ribosomal RNA", at positions 567 to 990 of the family's 1831-position model. The record is from RNAcentral.